UACGUAGGGUGCAAGCGUUGUCCGGAAUUAUUGGGCGUGAGGAGCUCGUAGGCGGUUUGUUGCGUCGGCUGUGAAAACCUGAGGCUCAACCUCAGGCCUGCAGUCGAUACGAGCAGACUAGAGUGUUGUAGGGGAGACUGGAAUUCCUGGUGUAGCGGUGAAAUGCGCAGAUAUCAGGAGGAACACCGGUGGCGAAGGCGGGUCUCUGGGCAACAACUGACGCUGAGGAGCGAAAGCGUGGGGAGCGAACAGG
RNAcentral lists this ribosomal RNA (253 nucleotides) under uncultured bacterium. RNAcentral's name for it is "partial 16S ribosomal RNA". It matches the Rfam family "Bacterial small subunit ribosomal RNA", at positions 524 to 776 of the family's 1533-position model. The record is from RNAcentral.